RNAcentral lists this transfer RNA (72 nucleotides) under Camelus ferus (Wild Bactrian camel). It matches the Rfam family "tRNA". Rfam says of the family: Transfer RNA (tRNA) molecules are approximately 80 nucleotides in length. Their secondary structure includes four short double-helical elements and three loops (D, anti-codon, and T loops). Further hydrogen bonds mediate the characteristic L-shaped molecular structure. tRNAs have two regions of fundamental functional importance: the anti-codon, which is responsible for specific mRNA codon recognition, and the 3' end, to which the tRNAs corresponding amino acid is attached (by aminoacyl-tRNA synthetases). tRNAs cope with the degeneracy of the genetic code in two manners: having more than one tRNA (with a specific anti-codon) for a particular amino acid; and 'wobble' base-pairing, i.e. permitting non-standard base-pairing at the 3rd anti-codon position. The record is from Rfam by way of RNAcentral. Lineage: Eukaryota; Metazoa; Chordata; Mammalia; Artiodactyla; Camelidae.
GAGGGUGUAGCUCACUGCUAGAGUGCAUGCUUAGCACGCACAAGGUCCUGGGUUCAACCCCCAGUGCCUCUG